Cronartium quercuum f. sp. fusiforme G11 is the source of this 84-nucleotide non-coding RNA. The record is from the annotation of a GenBank genome assembly. NCBI's taxonomy places the organism in Eukaryota, Fungi, Basidiomycota, Pucciniomycetes, Pucciniales, Coleosporiaceae.
GCCUUAGUAGCUCAGUGGUAGAGCGUUUGCCUAGUAUACGAUUAGGUGAGCAAAAGGUCCAGUGUUCGACUCACUGUUGAGGCA